CUACGGGGCGCACCAGUGGGGAAUAUUGGACAAUGGGGGAAACCCUGAUCCAGCAAUGCCGCGUGUGUGAAGAAGGCCUGCGGGUUGUAAAGCACUUUCGGUUGGGAGGACUGCUUCUAGCACUAAUAUUGUUGGAAGUUGACGUUACCUUCAGAAGAAGCACCGGCUAACUCCGUGCCAGCAGCCGCGGUAAUACGGAGGGCGCAAGGGUUAAUCGGAAUUACUGGGCGUAAAGCGCGCGUAGGCGGCUAGACCAGUCGGGUGUGAAAGCCCCGGGCUUAACCUGGGAACUGCAUCCGAUACUGUCUAGCUUGAGUACAGGAGAGGAGAGUGGAAUUCCACAUGUAGCGGUGAAAUGCGUAGAUAUGUGGAGGAACACCAAUGGCGAAGGCAGCUCUCUGGCCUGAUACUGACGCUGAGGUGCGAAAGCGUGGGGAGCAAACAGGAUUAGAUACCCCGGUAGUC
RNAcentral lists this ribosomal RNA (465 nucleotides) under uncultured bacterium. RNAcentral describes it as "partial 16S ribosomal RNA". It matches the Rfam family "Bacterial small subunit ribosomal RNA", at positions 339 to 795 of the family's 1533-position model. The record is from RNAcentral.